Non-coding RNA from Danio rerio (zebrafish), 1740 nucleotides. Lineage: Eukaryota; Metazoa; Chordata; Actinopteri; Cypriniformes; Danionidae. The record is from RefSeq and is a predicted model, not a curated record.
UCUAAUAAAAAAUGUAACCCGUUUUACAUAACUAUUUUUAUUUGAAUAUCAUUCUUUAAUACUAUGAAUAACUGUUCUAACCAUGUUUGUUGUCAGAAAGGACAGUUUCCUGUAAGAGAUCAUAUCACAGAUGUCGGGUGUUUAAAUCAAUAUCUGUAAAACCCACAUCCAUCCAGAGAGAUGGAUGGCAAUGCGGUGAGAAAGACCCCAUGGAUGGACUGACCCUGCCACAGCCACCUGGACCACCAUCACCCCCUCCUGUCCCAUCAUAAUCAGAAAGGCGACAGACAAUCCUGACAAUCCCACACUGUAUUUGAGGAGGUGUCAAACAGGGGAAAAAAAGCUAAACAAGUCUGAGAAAACAUGAGGGCAAGCAAACAAUGACAGAAUGUUCAUUUUUGGCCAAACUAUCCCUUAAAGCUCCAGUUGAUACCCUGUGGCUUCCUGAUCCUUUGAUACAGCAGAGGAAAAGCUCCCAUCCAAAGGAUUUUAUUGAAAACAUGGACGGCGCUGCUCUCCCCAGGUCCGACACCAAAGACAUAAGCAGGACCGCUGAUUAGAGAGACAAGCCCCAGACUCCUGCUGUAAUGAGAUGCAAGCCCAUGCGUCAUGGCGCAGUCUGCCAAAACGUAAAACAAGACGACAGGCCAGUAACAUUACUUCACUCACUCUCUCUCUCUCGCUCGCUCUGAAUAAAAGAGCUGGCUGUGAGAUGUAAGAUCAUGGAUAGCCAGGUAGAGGUAAUGUGAUGGAGGCUCUUGCCAAGACACCGUACAGAUGUGGCUCUGGGGGCAAAAGAACUGUCUCGGCUUUCUCUGCUUCCGCUCCUGAGGGAAACAAAUUUCCUCUUCCAUCGCACUGGCUUUCUUUUCUUUCUUUUUUUUAAACCAGACUCUCUUGCCAGACUCAUGGACAACGGGUCAAAGACUUCGCUUGGGAACUGCUGCUGUUAGACACAAUCUGACAAGCAAAACAUGUCAACAAAGUCGAAAGAUCGAAAUUAUGAUGAUAACAGAAUGAUUUUAAUUAAAUUGCAAUGUUUUUAGAUAAAGAAAAAUCUAGAAAGUUAUUUGGUUGUUACUAGUAAUCCUAUCAUAAACGCUUGAGCUGUGUGAGCCGAAGCAGUGAAUGAACACCACUAAACUGAAAAGCUUUGCUAAAUGAUGUGAAUGCACAAGGGAAACUGUACAAAGUCAGAAUGUUAAAGGGUAUACGUACUAUGAAUGUGCACUUUUCAAUGUGCAUGUCAAAGGGAUAGUUUACAAAAAAAGUUAAAUAUGUCCUAAUUUACUCAAAUCAUUCCAUGCCUACAGUAUAAAAACAUUUGUUCAGCUUGAAAAACAAAUCAGAAGACUAGGAUAAAAGUGCUUGAUUUACAUUUAUUUUACAAUAUUUUUAUUACUGGGUUAAGGCAUUCAGUGUUUUGGGAAAAUAGAUUCUGAAUGGACAAACUGAAGUCUCAAACACCCCAUUUACACUGUCAGUUAAAUGUGACCCAAUUCAGAUUUUUUGCUCAUAUGUGACACAGAAAAAAAAAAAAAAAAACUCAUGCAUUCAGAUAUCAGAGAUCGGCCUGCUUCAUAUGUACUGUAAAAAUAAUAUAUGUGACGGAUAUGUGACAAUGCGACUAUCAUGUAAAGAGGCAGAUCGGAUUUAUUUCUAAUAUUUUAUUUUGUUUUGUACGUCAGUAAACUUGUGACAAUGUGGUACUUCUCCACGGUUUAAUGACAGAUGGAAGAG